RNAcentral lists this ribosomal RNA (242 nucleotides) under Vibrio alginolyticus. Its description in RNAcentral is "partial 16S ribosomal RNA". It matches the Rfam family "Bacterial small subunit ribosomal RNA", at positions 1134 to 1375 of the family's 1533-position model. Lineage: Bacteria; Pseudomonadati; Pseudomonadota; Gammaproteobacteria; Vibrionales; Vibrionaceae. The record is from RNAcentral. RNAcentral also lists the same sequence under 2 other names.
GGAACUCCAGGGAGACUGCCGGUGAUAAACCGGAGGAAGGUGGGGACGACGUCAAGUCAUCAUGGCCCUUACGAGUAGGGCUACACACGUGCUACAAUGGCGCAUACAGAGGGCAGCCAACUUGCGAAAGUGAGCGAAUCCCAAAAAGUGCGUCGUAGUCCGGAUUGGAGUCUGCAACUCGACUCCAUGAAGUCGGAAUCGCUAGUAAUCGUGGAUCAGAAUGCCACGGUGAAUACGUUCCC